UGGGGAAUUUUGGACAAUGGGCGCAAGCCUGAUCCAGCCAUGCCGCGUGAGUGAAGAAGGCCUUCGGGUUGUAAAGCUCUUUCGGCGGGGACGAAACGGUCCGUGACAACACCACGGACUAAUGACGGUACUCGCAGAAGAAGCACCGGCUAACUACGUGCCAGCAGCCGCGGUAAUACGUAGGGUGCGGGCGUUAAUCGGAGUUACUGGGCGUAAAGCGUGCGCAGGCGGCUCCUUAAGUCAGAUGUGAAAGCCCCGGGCUUAACCUGGGAACUGCGUUUGAAACUGGGGAGCUAGAGUGUGGAAGAGGGGGGUGGAAUUCCAGGUGUAGCAGUGAAAUGCGUAGAGAUCUGGAGGAACACCGAUGGCGAAGGCAGCCCCCUGGGCUAACACUGACGCUCAUGCACGAAAGCGUGGGGAGCAAACAGGAUUAGAUACCCUGGUAGUCCACGCCCUAAACGAUGUCAACUGGUUGUCGGGGAAGUAAUUCCUUGGUAACGAAGCUAACGCGUGAAGUUGACCGCCUGGGGAGUACGGCCGCAAGGCUAA
Molecule: ribosomal RNA, 549 nt
Filed under: uncultured beta proteobacterium
Lineage: Bacteria; Pseudomonadati; Pseudomonadota; Betaproteobacteria
Description: bacterial SSU rRNA
Rfam family: Bacterial small subunit ribosomal RNA
Source: RNAcentral